Molecule: ribosomal RNA, 250 nt
Filed under: uncultured Alphaproteobacteria bacterium
Lineage: Bacteria; Pseudomonadati; Pseudomonadota; Alphaproteobacteria
Description: partial 16S ribosomal RNA
Rfam family: Bacterial small subunit ribosomal RNA
Source: RNAcentral
UACGAGGGGAGCUAGCGUUGUUCGGAAUUACUGGGCGUAAAGCGCGCGUAGGCGGCUUUUUAAGUCAGAGGUGAAAGCCCGGGGCUCAACCCCGGAAUAGCCUUUGAAACUGGAAAGCUAGAAUCUUGGAGAGGUCAGUGGAAUUCCGAGUGUAGAGGUGAAAUUCGUAGAUAUUCGGAAGAACACCAGUGGCGAAGGCGACUGACUGGACAAGUAUUGACGCUGAGGUGCGAAAGCGUGGGGAGCAAAC